AGAAACCACAGGGAUUGCCCCAGUAACGGCGAGUGAAGCGGCAAGAGCUCAAAUUUGGAAUCUGGCCCCUUUUAGGGACCCGAGUUGUAAUUUGUAGAGGGCGCUUUGGCGAUAGGCUGCGGCCCAAGUUCCUUGGAACAGGACGUCGUAGAGGGUGAGAGUCCCGUACGCGGCCGCGCGCCUUCGCCUUGUAAAGCCCCUUCGACGAGUCGAGUUGUUUGGGAAUGCAGCUCUAAGUGGGAGGUAAAUCUCUUCUAAAGCUAAAUAACGGCCAGAGACCGAUAGCGCACAAGUAGAGUGAUCGAAAGAUGAAAAGCACUUUGGAAAGAGAGUCAAAAAGCACGUGAAAUUGUUGAAAGGGAAGCGCUUGCGGCCAGACAUGCCCGCGGUCGCUCAUCCGGACCCCCCCAAUUGUCCGGUGCAGUCUCCCGUGAGCAGGCCAGCAUCGGUCUGGGCGGUUGGACAAAGGCCCCGGGAAUGUAGCUCCCCCCCGGGGGAGUGUUAUAGCCCGGGGCGCAAUGCAGCCAGCCGAGACCGAGGCCCGCGCGUCGUGCUACGAUGCUGGCGUAAUGGCCGCAAGCGGCCCGUCUUGAAACACGGACCAAGGAGUCUAACAUCCAUGCGAGUGUUUGGGUGUCAAGCCCGAGCGCGCAGUGAGAGCGAAUGGAGGUGGGAACCCCCCCCCGGGGGCGCACCAUCGACCGAUCCUGAUGUCCUCGGAUGGAUUUGAGUAAGAGCAUGGCUGUUGGGACCCGAAAGAUGGUGAACUAUGCCUGGAUAGGGUGAAGCCAGAGGAAACUCUGGUGGAGGCUCGCAGCGGUUCUGACGUGCAAAUCGAUCGUCAAAUCUGGGCAUAGGGGCGAAAGACUAAUCGAACUAUCUAAUAGCUGGGUCCAUGCCGAGUCCC
Molecule: ribosomal RNA, 907 nt
Filed under: Ascocratera manglicola
Lineage: Eukaryota; Fungi; Ascomycota; Dothideomycetes; Pleosporales; Aigialaceae
Description: partial large subunit ribosomal RNA
Rfam family: Eukaryotic large subunit ribosomal RNA
Source: RNAcentral